Molecule: long non-coding RNA, 804 nt
Organism: Micropterus dolomieu (smallmouth bass)
Lineage: Eukaryota; Metazoa; Chordata; Actinopteri; Centrarchiformes; Centrarchidae
Exons: 4
Source: RefSeq, a predicted model, not a curated record
UAAGUACACCAACCUAAACUUUCUAAACUUAAUUUAACAUGUAUUAACGUUAAUUAAAACGCAGCAAGGCUGACUCAGCACCAUGGACAGCUAACGAGGACACGAAGCUCUUAAGGUGCAUCUGCACUUGCUCUGGAGUGACCUUUUAGGAAACUGGCGUAAAAACGUCGAGCGAGGGGACGCGGGCGUUUCUGGAGCUGCUGCUGCCGUUGAUUCAACUCGACUCCCUGCCAAGAGACCCAUCCUUAUCUGACUCUGAUUGGCCCUGAACCCGACGGAUCUCCAGCUUCACCAGGAUGGCCGGCAUCACCCUGCAGAGGGGGAAUGAACGUGAGUGUGGAGUUGAACAGCUGUCCAGCUGCAGGUGGUCCCUGCAAUCCUUUUGGGCCCUCGAGUCCUCUCUCUCCCGGAAGCCCUGGAGGACCAGGUUUCCCGCAAGGCCCAAUGUCCCCCUGUGAAAACAUGGCAACAUAAGAAGACAGGAAAUUAGAUACAUUUAUUGACUGCAGGUUAUCAAAUGCUGUUACAGAGUUGGCUGUCAAAAUGUUUAAUUCCUCAAAAAACUGGGGCUGUAGACUGUUCCGCAACAUUAAACAAAGACAGUUUGGUCUCAUAUUGUACCUUGUACCACCUUUGGGCGAUUUCUUAAGUUGUUUGUGGUAUGAACAAUCAGUGAUGUAAAGAGUCAGGAUUGAUGCUGCUGUAAACACUGACCUGAUAUCCUUUCUGUCCUGGUGGGCCUUCAGUUCCUGUUUGGCCAUGGAGACCCUGAUGUCAAAAGUCAAAACAAUCAUCUCCUGACAA